RNAcentral lists this ribosomal RNA (459 nucleotides) under uncultured bacterium. RNAcentral describes it as "partial 16S ribosomal RNA". It matches the Rfam family "Bacterial small subunit ribosomal RNA", at positions 338 to 795 of the family's 1533-position model. The record is from RNAcentral.
CCUACGGGUGUCAGCAGUGAGGAAUAUUGGUCAAUGGGCGCGAGCCUGAACCAGCCAAGUAGCGUGAAGGAUAACUGCACUACGGGUUGUAAACUUCUUUUAUAAAGGAAUAAAGUGAGGCACGUGUGCCUUUUUGUAUGUACUUUAUGAAUACGGAUCGGCUAACUCCGUGCCAGCAGCCGCGGUAAUACGGAGGAUCCGAGCGAUAUCCGGAUUUGUUGGGUUUAAAGGGUGCGUAGGCGGAGCGUUAAGUCAGUGGUCAAAUGGAGGGGCGCAACCCCGUCCCGCCAUUUAAACUGGCGCUCUUGAGUGGAAGAGAAGUAUGCGGAAUGCGUGGUGUAGCGGUGAAAUGCAUAGAUAUCACGCAGAACCCCGAUUGCGAAGGCAGCAUGCCGGCUUCCGACUGACGCUGAAGCACGAAAGCGUGGGGAUCGAACAGGAUUAGAUACCCCAGUAGUC